Ochotona princeps (American pika) is the source of this 388-nucleotide long non-coding RNA. RefSeq lists it as uncharacterized. Lineage: Eukaryota; Metazoa; Chordata; Mammalia; Lagomorpha; Ochotonidae. The transcript is spliced from 3 exons. The record is from RefSeq and is a predicted model, not a curated record.
GUGAUCCUUCAUCGGUAGACCUUCCACCAUCUAUUGCCCUCUUCAGAAGCCAGACCAAAAUGGGGUGCUGUGAUCUUGGACUGUGAGCCUCCAAAACAAUUUCAUCUUAACUCUCUCUCAACUGUCAGGAUGGAUUUUGCUCAGAAAAUUUGAGAGGGGCUUGAUUGUCAGGAAAGCUGUCACUAGAUGCAACAUUCCUAUAAUAACUACCAAAGGAGGCACAGUGUGCUGACAGGCUUUCUAACCAAAAUGGACUGGUUUAUGCUAUUGAGGCUACUGUUCCUGAGUGCAGGGCCUUAGCAACAAAAUGAUAGAACAACAUUUGAGGUUGUUUGGUUUGGUGAGUUUAAUAUAGGUUAGUAUUUUAGGCAGUUUUAUGAAGAGUGCU